AAUAAAAAAUAAACUAAAAUUAUGCUUAAUUUUUAUCUCUGUUUUGAAAAAUAUUCAGUAAUCUUUGAAUUCUAAUUUUAGGUGAGGAGUUUGCUGAAGGAGUUCAUGUUGGAAAAGGUGGCGCCUCAGUUGAGGGAUAAACAUGUGGAAAACUGUUGCAUUCGGGAACCCCUGAAAGCUGCUGUGAUUGUGCAUCAUGUAUGCAGACAGUAUGGCAUCAGACUUGACAAUAACGAGCUCCAUCGGCUCUGCUCUGCACUUUGCUUACCCAGAAAAGAGAAGGAUGCUUUUCAUGAGUACUGGACAGACUUUUCUCAGACCAUCGUUUCUGUUUUGCAAAGUUUACCACGAAUGUUGGUAGAUUUAAUCAAGGACGUAAAGAGAAGAGGAAUGACUCGGUGGAAUUUGGUACUACCACUUUUGCACCUUGUCAAAGACAGCAUCAAGCCCUUUGAAGCACAAAUCUCAAAUACAAAGUAUGGUUUGGCUUGGGCUGGACUCCAGGAACUAGAAAUGAGCAACACAACACUGGGCAGCCAAGAUACCAGAGCGGUCAUCAAAAUGAUGAAAGAUCACAGUCACUUGAUGGAGGUGGACUCCAUUUUGAUUCGAUCCUGCUUGUAUCUGAUGUCAUUUGAUAAGCUGAUGGAGUACACAAAGGAAAUGAACCCAGAGCUUCUGGACAUUCUUCUUGUUGUCACACAUAAAGUUCCUCCGGAGAUCUCUGCCAGCAGUUUUGAAGUGAGUUCAUCUUGA
RNAcentral lists this long non-coding RNA (756 nucleotides) under Oryzias javanicus (javanese ricefish). RNAcentral describes it as "lncRNA (ENSOJAG00000005593.1)". The record is from RNAcentral. Lineage: Eukaryota; Metazoa; Chordata; Actinopteri; Beloniformes; Adrianichthyidae.